This 442-nucleotide ribosomal RNA is filed under the name uncultured bacterium. RNAcentral's name for it is "partial 16S ribosomal RNA". It matches the Rfam family "Bacterial small subunit ribosomal RNA", at positions 338 to 795 of the family's 1533-position model. The record is from RNAcentral.
CCUACGGGGGCAGCAGUGGGGAAUAUUUGGCAAUGGGCGCAAGCCUGACCCAGCAACGCCGCGUGAAGGAAGAAGGUUUUCGGGUUGUAAACUUCUUUUCUCAGGGACGAAGCAAGUGACGGUACCUGAGGAAUAAGUCACGGCCAACUACGUGCCAGCAGGCGGCGUCAUACGUAAGUGGCAAGCGUUAACCGGAUUUACUGGGUGUAAAGGGCGUGUAGGCGGGACUGCAAGUCAGAUGUGAAAAACACGGGCUCAAACUGUGGCCUGCAUUUGAAACUGUAGUUCUAGAGUACUGGAGAGGCAAACGGAAUUCCUAGUGUAGCGGUGAAAUGCGUAGAUAUUAGGAGGAACACCAGUGGCGAAGGCGGUCUGCUGGACAGCAACUGACGCUGAGGCGCGAAAGCGUGGGGAGCAAACAGGAUUAGAUACCCCUGUAGUC